Molecule: ribosomal RNA, 253 nt
Filed under: uncultured bacterium
Lineage: Bacteria
Description: partial 16S ribosomal RNA
Rfam family: Bacterial small subunit ribosomal RNA
Source: RNAcentral
GACGUAGGGUGCAAGCGUUGUCCGGAUUUACUGGGCGUAAAGAGCGCGUAGGCGGUCUGUUAAGUGAGAAGUGAAAGCUCUGGGCUCAACCCAAAAAUUGCUUUUCAUACUGGCAGACUGGAGUGAUGCAGAGGUUUGUGGAAUUCCUGGUGUAGCGGUGAAAUGCGUUGAUAUCAGGAGGAACACCGAUGGCGAAGGCAGCAAACUGGGCAUUAACUGACGCUGAGGCGCGAAAGCGUGGGUAGCAAACAGG